AUUGGAAUAUUCAUUACUUUUUCUCAGUUACUGUACAAAUUAAUAGGAAGAACUGUUAAGAGUCUGUGUAUGUCAAAGACUGACCACAGCCUAACUUGGACCACAGCAUAUCCUUGUUGUACCAAUAACAAGAGGAGCAGAUGCCAAGGAUGCUUUGAACCCUGCUUCUCACUGUUUUCAGACCGCACACCACCGUGGUCAUCAGCACAUUUUAAUUAUGAUUGAAAUUCUAACAGCAAGACAAAAUUCUUCAGAAGACUUCAGCUCCUGUGCAGCCAUCCAAAUAGCCAAAUUUACAAGGAACACCUGACAAAUAGAAGAGCCGACUUCUGGAAGAAUGAAUGUGUCACUGGAAUUGUCUAGUUUAGUUACCACUUCUCAUUUUAUUUGUAGAUUCUCUGGUGUAGAUAUAAUGUGCUCCUGGAAAUAAUCUUUAAACUGGUAACCAAACCUUGAGAAUCUGACCAUCACUGCACAAAAAUAAAUAAAUAAAUAAAUAAAUACA
Molecule: long non-coding RNA, 505 nt
Filed under: Coturnix japonica (Japanese quail)
Lineage: Eukaryota; Metazoa; Chordata; Aves; Galliformes; Phasianidae
Description: lncRNA (ENSCJPG00005013440.1)
Source: RNAcentral